UGAGGAAUAUUGGUCAAUGGGCGAGAGCCUGAACCAGCCAAGUAGCGUGCAGGAUGACGGCCCUAUGGGUUGUAAACUGCUUUUAUGUGGGGAUAAAGUGCGUGACGUGUCAUGCAUUGCAGGUACCACAUGAAUAAGGACCGGCUAAUUCCGUGCCAGCAGCCGCGGUAAUACGGAAGGUCCGGGCGUUAUCCGGAUUUAUUGGGUUUAAAGGGAGCGUAGGCUGUCUAUUAAGCGUGUUGUGAAAUUUACCGGCUCAACCGGUGGCUUGCAGCGCGAACUGGUCGACUUGAGUAUGCAGGAAGUAGGCGGAAUUCAUGGUGUAGCGGUAAAAUGCUUAAAUAUCAUGACGAACUCCGAUUGCGCAGGCAGCUUACUGUAGCAUAACUGACGCUGAUGCUCGAAAGUGCGGGUAUCAAACAGG
This 424-nucleotide ribosomal RNA is filed under the name Fusobacteriota bacterium. RNAcentral describes it as "Fusobacteria bacterium partial 16S ribosomal RNA". It matches the Rfam family "Bacterial small subunit ribosomal RNA", at positions 355 to 776 of the family's 1533-position model. Lineage: Bacteria; Fusobacteriati; Fusobacteriota. The record is from RNAcentral.